GGGAUUAGCUAGUAGGUGGGGUAACGGCUCACCUAGGCGACGAUCCCUAGCUGGUCUGAGAGGAUGACCAGCCACACUGGAACUGAGACACGGUCCAGACUCCUACGGGAGGCAGCAGUGGGGAAUAUUGCACAAUGGGCGCAAGCCUGAUGCAGCCAUGCCGCGUGUAUGAAGAAGGCCUUCGGGUUGUAAAGUACUUUCAGCGGGGAGGAAGGCGAUGCGGUUAAUAACCGUGUCGAUUGACGUUACCCGCAGAAGAAGCACCGGCUAACUCCGUGCCAGCAGCCGCGGUAAUACGGAGGGUGCAAGCGUUAAUCGGAAUUACUGGGCGUAAAGCGCACGCAGGCGGUCUGUCAAGUCAGAUGUGAAAUCCCCGGGCUUAACCUGGGAACUGCAUUUGAAACUGGCAGGCUA
Molecule: ribosomal RNA, 414 nt
Filed under: Erwinia sp. H1-22-l
Lineage: Bacteria; Pseudomonadati; Pseudomonadota; Gammaproteobacteria; Enterobacterales; Erwiniaceae
Also listed under: 1 other name
Description: bacterial SSU rRNA
Rfam family: Bacterial small subunit ribosomal RNA
Source: RNAcentral